CCUACGGGUGACAGCAGUAGGGAAUCUUUCACAAUGGGCGAAAGCCUGAUGGAGCAACGCCGCGUGCAGGAUGAAGGCCUUCGGGUUGUAAACUGCUUUUAUAAGCGAGAAAUAUGAUGGUAACUUAUGAAUAAGGAUCGGCUAACUACGUGCCAGCAGCCGCGGUCAUACGUAGGAUCCGAGCAUUAUCCGGAGUGACUGGGUGUAAAGAGUUGCGUAGGUGGCAUAAUAAGUAGCUAGUGAAAUCUGGUGGCUCAACCAUUCAGACUAUUAGCGAAACUGUUAAGCUCGAGACCGUGAGGGGUAAGUGGAAUUUCUAGUGUAGGAGUGAAAUGCGUAGAUAUUAGAAGGAACACCAAUAGCGAAGGCAGGUUACUGGGACGGUUCUGACACUAAGGCACGAAAGCGUAGGGAGCAAACGGGAUUAGAUACCCCUGUAGUC
RNAcentral lists this ribosomal RNA (442 nucleotides) under uncultured bacterium. RNAcentral's name for it is "partial 16S ribosomal RNA". It matches the Rfam family "Bacterial small subunit ribosomal RNA", at positions 338 to 795 of the family's 1533-position model. The record is from RNAcentral.